GACGUAGGCAGCAAGCGUUGUUCGGAGUUACUGGGCGUAAAGGGUGCGUAGGCGGCUUUUUAAGUCUGGUGUGAAAUCUCCCGGGCUCAACUGGGAGGGUGCGCCGGAUACUGAGGGGCUAGAGUGUGGGAGAGGAAAGUGGAAUUCCUGGUGUAGCGGUGAAAUGCGUAGAUAUCAGGAGGAACACCGGUGGUGUAAACGGCUUUCUGGACCAUAACUGACGCUGAGGCACGAAAGCGUGGGUAGCAAACAGG
This 254-nucleotide ribosomal RNA is filed under the name uncultured bacterium. RNAcentral describes it as "partial 16S ribosomal RNA". It matches the Rfam family "Bacterial small subunit ribosomal RNA", at positions 524 to 776 of the family's 1533-position model. The record is from RNAcentral.